CCGGUCCGUCCCUGAAUCUCCGCGCCCUCCUCCCCUGCCUCCCCUGCCUUCAACUGGAUCCGAACAACCGGUCCGUCCCUGAAUCUCCGCGCUGACCACCACCCUCCCCGGCCGCCCUCGCCGCCAGAUCGAGCCGUCCACGGCCUUUGUAUGCCGAAUCCGCAGGGCCACGGCCUCGCGCGCCUCCCUCUGCCCACCUGCCAUGCCGCGCCGCCGCAGCCCACCAUGGCCCGCCCCCUCCACCUCCAAGUCUUCCCCCAAUCUAACACCUUCCACCUUCUCUCUCGGGGGCCGGCGAUCAUGGGGAUGGCACUGCCCAUUGCGACGACCCACCGCAGAUCACGGCCUCCCGUUCUAUAUCCAUUGGCCCUGUGCCGGAUCCGGCGAGCAACGACAACGUGGAUACCUACCUCACUCCCAGACUGAACAUGGAUCCGACGAGCACGGCAAUGUGACCACCGCAGUCAAGGCUGGAGUCAGGUUGGAAAUCCCAAACAGGGCUGUGCUCGAUAGCAAGGGGCUCACAGUUAAACAAGAAGAACAUGCUACAGACAGUGAUGUUGAGGCUGCCUAUACACCACAGGCCCAUGCCACCUACAACAAUCACAACCAGUUCCUCUGUAAAAAGCACAAGCAGCCAUUUGAGUACAUCGACCGGCCCUUGUCAUCGGAUUGGAUCCCAGAUUAUAAAUGAGAAGAAAUCCAUCUAAAACCAGGGGAAUUCAUUAUUCGCGGUGAGCCUUGCAUCGGUUAUGCUGAUGAGUUUAGCCCGUACUGUGUGUACGGAAAUGAAGUGAAGUUGUACAACAAUAAUCUUAAGAAGCUGCGCAAGCUAAUUAAAAACAAGAGAACACCUAACAGCUACUAUGUCUGCCACAUGACAAAGACCUUUGCAACCCCUGGAAAAAGAAUGGAUUUCCUGGUGCCCUUCUCUAAAGGCAGUAUCUACCCACAUAUGGAUGCCAGCAAUGAAUUGCCAGUGAGCAAUGGAGAUGGUACUGUCAAUGCCACAGUUCGCUUCAUCAAAGGCGUCGACAACAGAGCCACCAUCACAAAGAACUGGAGCGCUUUCUUUCAGAAGGCAGAAAUGAAAGAGGGCCGGGUCUAUGCCUUUGCGUUCAAAUGCUCAACGAAGGGGCUGCGCCUGAUCGUCUAUCCCCUAUAAGGAGAUCCAUGAAUAUCUGUUGAGUCUAUCCUAGGGUAUACUUUUGGAGCGCGUGUAGCAAAGCAGCAAUGUCAUUUCUAUGUCCUUCCAUCUGUUGAUCUCUCUCAAAACUGUUUCUGCCUUUGCUGUAAAUUAUUGUUCUUAACUACAAUGUCUCCGUAGAAGCGGUUUGAAUUAAUAUGUUGACAGACCACCCUCCCUUAUUGUGAAAGAGAUAGUCUUUUGGGAUGAA
Molecule: non-coding RNA, 1397 nt
Organism: Triticum urartu
Lineage: Eukaryota; Viridiplantae; Streptophyta; Magnoliopsida; Poales; Poaceae
Source: RefSeq, a predicted model, not a curated record